Molecule: ribosomal RNA, 468 nt
Filed under: uncultured bacterium
Lineage: Bacteria
Description: partial 16S ribosomal RNA
Rfam family: Bacterial small subunit ribosomal RNA
Source: RNAcentral
GACGAACGCUGGCGGCGUGCUUAACACAUGCAAGUCGAACGGAAAGGCCCUGCUUUUGUGGGGUGCUCGAGUGGCGAACGGGUGAGUAACACGUGAGUCACCUGCCCUUUACUUUGGGAUAACUUCAGGCAACUGGGGCUAAUACCGGAUAGGAGCUCCUGCUGCAUGGUGGGGGUUGGAAAGUUUCGGCGGUUGGGGAUGGACUCGCGGCUUAUCAGCUUGUUGGUGGGGUAGUGGCUUACCAAGGCUUUGACGGGUAGCCGGCCUGAGAGGGUGACCGGCCACAUUGGGACUGAGAUACGGCCCAGACUCCUACGGGAGGCAGCAGUGGGGAAUAUUGCACAAUGGGCGGAAGCCUGAUGCAGCAACGCCGCGUGCGGGAUGACGGCCUUCGGGUUGUAAACCGCUUUCGCCUGUGACGAAGCGUGAGUGACGGUAAUGGGUAAAGAAGCACCGGCUAACUACGUG